This is a long non-coding RNA of Mangifera indica (mango), 1828 nucleotides long. RefSeq lists it as uncharacterized. The record is from RefSeq and is a predicted model, not a curated record. Lineage: Eukaryota; Viridiplantae; Streptophyta; Magnoliopsida; Sapindales; Anacardiaceae. The transcript is spliced from 2 exons.
CUAGGAAUCACAUGUCCUUUGACAAAAAUAUGAGGCUUUUUGCCCUCUUUUUUCCUUCCAGCUUGUCUUAUUACAUGUGUGCUUACGCACAACUAAGAAUCAAUUGUAUUGUCGCAUUGUUUCCUUUCCAACUUCUUAAUAUUUUAUUAUUAUUAUUAUUAUUUUUAAGUUUUCGUUAAUUUAUCGGCAAACAAUGAGAGAUCGUAGAGGCCCCUCUUUGAAAAAAAUCCUGGGUUCAUCACUGCCCCUACGCAUGAGAAAGAUAGUAUUCAGUCCAUUUUAAUCCAUCAUCGUUUUAGUUAUUUUUUUUUUUUUUUUUGCAAAAUAUAUGUUUACCUUGAAGAUAUGGUUAUUCAACUUGGUGAAACGUUACCCCAUUGAACAUAUGGCCAUAGUUCAUAUGUCCUAUUCAAGCUUAACAUCCUUAUUUUCCACUAUAAAAGCCUUGAUAUUUGUACCAAAAAAAUAAACAACUCAAUUUCAUACAACCAUUGUCAUCCUGCUGAUUUCAUAUUCAUAAUCUUUUGUUGUUCCCGUUUCAGAAAUAUUUUCAGAAGACCCUGCUGAAUCCCGGGGGAUUGUUCUAAUUCAGAGAAUAAAAAUCCUUAAAGACUGACUUCAGUUCACACAUCAAGUUACUAUGUCCUUUCUCUUUCCUCAGCUCCAAGUCAAAGUACACUAUCUGUCCAAGUCGAAGUGCUCCAUUCUGUGGCAAAGUGCUCUAUCUGUCCAAGUCGAAGUGCUCUAUUCUGUGGCGUGAUUAGAUUUUACAACUUUUAUUAUGUGGCCUGACAAUCAAAGUGCUAUUGCUUUGGCAUCUAUUCCUAUAUUGCACUUUAGGGACUUGCUUCAGGCAGCUGCAGGUGCCGCUAAUGAGUAUGACUUCAAGGUUGCAAUGGACAGUAUCAAGGGUUACAGUCAAGAAGCAUACAAUUACCUGAUGAAGGAACCGGCAAAAUAUAGGAGCAGAAGUGCUUUUGACACAGAUUGUAGUAGUGAUAAUAUCACUAACCGUAGAACUUUCAAAGAGAAAGUCUGAAUUUGAACCUUUAUCAUAUUUGUAAAAUCUUAAUUUAUUUGAUAUAGUGAUUGUGGUUUAGUCCGUAUGCUUCGGAUUUAUCCAUUCAAUUAAUAUGGGUAAGAGCCCUGGUUAAAAAAAAGGAAGAGAGAGAGGUGAAGGAAGUUCCCAUUGUUAAAUCGAUUGAGUUUAUUCAUUUAAAGGUUAUGAAUAAUUUUUAUAUUAGUUAUUAUACUUAAGAAAGCUAGUUUUUGGGAAUUUGAGGUACAUGUGAUAUGUCUAGGAUACAUUUCGUCAACUUAAGGUUAUCGAGAAAGUACGCAUAUGAUAAGUUUCAAAUCAGAAGAGUCCCUUGUAAACAUAUGAUAGCAGCAAUUACUAAGGCCAGACAACAUAAGGAAACGUAUAUGAUUCGCUUAUACCUGAUGAAAUCAUGUCGCCUAAUAUGUUGGGCUCCAAAACUUACCAACCCCAUCCAUAGAGAGAGAUCAGGCACGCCUGAGAAGGCAGGACACAGAGAGAAGCAUGAAUCCCCAAGGAGAGGAAGGCAAACAACUGUCUACUGCGGAGUUUGCAAGGUCCAAUAAUUAGUACGAUUAUGUUAUUGGUCAGUUUUCAAUUAUUUGCACAAACUGGAACAAUUAGGGAAACAGAUGCAUGUAAUUUCUGAAAGAGGUGAGAUGUAAACUCAUUGAUCAAAGUUGUUCUUUGGAGUAUAUUGAAUGGUGGCUACUCUUUUUGUUAUGUUUUUGAAAUGGCUCUGGUUGUGCCUGUCAUGCAUAAUUUAUUUUAUUUUAUAGUUAUAUUAAA